UGGAAGUAAAAGUCGUAACAAGGUCUCCGUUGGUGAACCAGCGGAAGGAUCAUUACUGAGUUUACGCUCUACAACCCUUUGUGAACAUACCUAUAACUGUUGCUUCGGCGGGUAGGGUCUCCGUGACCCCCCCGGCCUCCCGCCCCCGGGCGGGUCGGCGCCCGCCGGAGGAUAACCAAACUCUGAUUUAACGACGUUUCUUCUGAGUGGUACAAGCAAAUAAUCAAAACUUUUAACAACGGAUCUCUUGGUUCUGGCAUCGAUGAAGAACGCAGCGAAAUGCGAUAAGUAAUGUGAAUUGCAGAAUUCAGUGAAUCAUCGAAUCUUUGAACGCACAUUGCGCCCGCCAGCAUUCUGGCGGGCAUGCCUGUUCGAGCGUCAUUUCAACCCUCAAGCUCUGCUUGGUGUUGGGGCCCUACGGCUGACGUAGGCCCUCAAAGGUAGUGGCGGACCCUCCCGGAGCCUCCUUUGCGUAGUAACUUUACGUCUCGCACUGGGAUCCGGAGGGACUCUUGCCGUAAAACCCCCAAUUUUCCAAAGGUUGACCUCGGAUCAGGUAGGAAUACCCGCUGAACUUAAGCAUAUCAAUAAGCGGAGGA
Molecule: ribosomal RNA, 599 nt
Filed under: Colletotrichum gloeosporioides
Lineage: Eukaryota; Fungi; Ascomycota; Sordariomycetes; Glomerellales; Glomerellaceae
Description: eukaryotic LSU rRNA
Rfam family: 5.8S ribosomal RNA (bases 228-381)
Source: RNAcentral